AGAGUUUGAUCAUGGCUCAGAAUCAACGCUGGCGGCGUGCCUAACACAUGCAAGUCGAACGCGAAAGGGGCUUCGGCUCUGAGUAGAGUGGCAAACGGGUGAGUAACGCGUGGGUGACCUGCCCUUGAGUGGGGGAUAACGUUCCGAAAGGGACGCUAAUACCGCAUAACAUCCUGCUUUUGAACAGGCGGAAAUCAAAGCUGGGGAUCGCAAGACCUGGCGCUUGAGGAGGGGCCCGCGUCCGAUUAGCUAGUUGGUGGGGUAAAAGCCUACCAAGGCGACGAUCGGUAGCCGGCCUGAGAGGGCGGACGGCCACACUGGGACUGAGACACAGCCCAGACUCCUACGGGAGGCAGCAGUGGGGAAUUGUUCGCAAUGGGCGCAAGCCUGACGACGCAACGCCGCGUGGAGGAUGAAGGUCUUCGGAUUGUAAACUCCUGUUGACCGGGAAAAAUUUCUGCGGGGGUAAUAUCCCCGCAGGGUGAUGGUACCGGUUGAGGAAGCCCCGGCUAACUCUGUGCCAGCAGCCGCGGUAAUACAGAGGGGGCAAGCGUUGUUCGGAAUUACUGGGCGUAAAGGGCGCGUAGGCGGCCAACUAAGUCGGACGUGAAAUCCCCGGGCUCAACCCGGGAACUGCGUCCGAUACUGGAUGGCUUGAAUCCGGGAGAGGGAUGUGGAAUUCCAGGUGUAGCGGUGAAAUGCGUAGAUACCUGGAGGAACACCGGUGGCGAAGGCGGCAUCCUGGACCGGUAUUGACGCUGAGGCGCGAAAGCCAGGGGAGCAAACGGGAUUAGAUACCCCAGUAGUCC
This 809-nucleotide ribosomal RNA is filed under the name uncultured bacterium. RNAcentral's name for it is "bacterial SSU rRNA". It matches the Rfam family "Bacterial small subunit ribosomal RNA", at positions 8 to 796 of the family's 1533-position model. The record is from RNAcentral.